RNAcentral lists this ribosomal RNA (322 nucleotides) under uncultured Spirochaetota bacterium. Its description in RNAcentral is "bacterial SSU rRNA". It matches the Rfam family "Bacterial small subunit ribosomal RNA", at positions 28 to 351 of the family's 1533-position model. The record is from RNAcentral. Lineage: Bacteria; Pseudomonadati; Spirochaetota.
GACGAACGCUGGCGGCGUGGAUUAGGCAUGCAAGUCGAACGGUAGUUAUUCCUUCGGGGAUAAUGAGAGUGGCGAACGGGUGAGUAACGCGUAGGUGAUCUACCUUCAGGUGGGGGACAACCCGGGGAAACCCGGGCUAAUACCGCAUGUGGCUGCAAAGCUAAAGCCGGCCUCUGCAAAUGCUGGUGCCUGGAGAUGAGCCUGCGUCCGAUUAGUUAGUUGGUGGGGUAACGGCCUACCAAGGCGAUGAUAGGUAGGCGGCUUUAACGAGUGGCCGCCCACACUGGGAUUGAGAAACGGCCCAGACUCCUACGGGUGGCAG